Molecule: long non-coding RNA, 3029 nt
Organism: Pezoporus flaviventris
Lineage: Eukaryota; Metazoa; Chordata; Aves; Psittaciformes; Psittacidae
Exons: 2
Source: RefSeq, a predicted model, not a curated record
UUUGGCAGAGGAAUAUUCUCCUUCAUUUCAGUGUGGAAGGUGGCAUUAGGUUACUUUAGACACUAAUGUGUUGUGGAUAUUGUGAUAAGCUCCACACAAGGUCCUACUGAUGAUCCCCCACUGGUGGCAAGAGCAGUGCUGUGGCCCCAGUCCUGCCCCUUGAACUCUAGUGCAGCUUCUUGGCAGGACAAGACCUUUGCAUGUCCGGGGAGAUCAUGGUAUAGGAAAAAUGUGGUGCUCUGCUGUAAAUGCAUGAGAGAUGGGCUUUGGUGUGUCAGAGGGGUGGCCAAGGCCUACUGGUGUAAUUGUCCCAGGUAAUGGCAUUGGAGGGAGCACAACGUUUUCGCCUAUAUCCACAGCUCAAUCAGACUCUGGAAAACUCAAUUAACCAGAAGAGCUUUUCAUCCAGUAGGGCAGGGCAAGAGUCUGCUGAGUUAUCCAGCAAAAACUUGGACAGUUUUGGCCUCAGUUGUCAUGAUUUCUGCUUCUGGCCAUUUUGUAGCUAAACAGUGGAGAAUAUAGAGCUCAAGAACUAUUAAAAAAGAACAACGCAGGCAUGAUACAGACAUGGCUACAGUGAUGGGGAGAAAUCUGAGUGAAACACAUAUUAUGUGAACAAAUUAUAUCAUUUUUUACUCAAAGCAGCUGUGCAGUGCCCUGUGCUUGCUGAUGCUGAAGCAUCAGAAGGGGGGAAAAGCACUGUCAAGGCUGAAAGACUGCUGUGUGGUUUUCUAGGCAUUUCACUGCAGAUUUAUAGUCGGUAAACUUGGCUUCUGAAUUAUAGGGAUGUAUUCAAUUUUUUUUUCUGGCUUCAGUAUGUUGCUUAUUUUCUGUGUACAAUUUUUUUUCUUCAGAAAAAUUUCCAGUUCCUAGUGAAUGGAUUGUAGAUUUAAGUCCUAUUUUUUUGCCCUGAUGAAAGCAAUAUGCUGGUCUUUGACUAGUUUGCAAGAGCAAAUCUAGCUUUCAACACAUGUGCUACUUGGUAUGUACUGAAACUAUCAAAGUGAUUAUGUAGUCACAGCCUCAUAGAGUAUAACCAAAUAUACUCAAAGCUCAAUGAGAGGCAUUUGUCAUUCUGAAUCAGGUAAGAACAGACUGUACUGGCACUGAAGAGCUAUCAGGUAUCUUGUCAAGAGACUGGCAAUUUGUACAAUGCUUGGAGAAUACCCCACUUCACACAUUCUUUGUUUAGAAUGAUGGUCUGAAUUUAUUUGAUGGAAAAUAUUAAGAAACUUAGGAGCUAUACCUUGAAACUGCAAGUAGUAUUGAAUGAAAGUAAUGCAGACAGUUAUACAGAGGUCUCUACCAUCUAAAAUAUUUAAAUUCACUAUUAUAAGAACAGUUACAGUCAUGGCAACUUUAUUCUACUUUCAGUGUUUGAUUUAACGGAUAUAAAAUUAUUAAUGUUUUAGCUGAGAGGUAGUUUUCAGCACUGAAAAGUAGUAUUUGCAUGUCAAAUCUAAAAUAUUUUGGGACAAAAAAUCUUUUAUCUAAUAGAUUUUGAUCUCACUGUAAUGUGUUGGCUCUGCUAUACAGUUAGUUUUACAAAAAAGUAUAACGCUGAUGGAAUCAAAAGCCUUUCUCUUACGUGAACUUUCCUGAAUAUACUUAAUAAAAUAAACUUUUACUUAAUUACAAUAACAAUUAUUCCUCAUGCCAUAAUUAGUAUUAUUUCAUAAACUGGUAUUAGGCCAACUUUUAUACAUAAACCACAGAAACUUCUUCAUAAACAGGUUAUGUAUUUAAAAUAUGAGUUUUGAGAUUGAAGUAUCUUUGUUGUUAAAAGAAGAAUUCUAUGCAAAACUAAAUUCUUACUCAGUUAUAAUAGGUGUGAAUCUUUGGAUUAGCCAUCAUAAAAUACUUACUGGAAUACUAGAGUAGAAAUAAUACUGUUAAAUAUGUAUGAUGUUACUUUCUCUUGCCAUACAUUCUGGAUAUGUAUGUAUGUGGCCUAAAAUAGUGUGUGACGGAUCAUACCUUCCCAAGAAAAUUCAUAGAUUCUGAUUUUGAUGACACUGUGGAAGACCGUAAGAUAUACGAUGUAUGGUUAUGUCAUGUUUUUGGUAGAGCUUUGCUAGUCCUGUUUCUCUCAUCUUCUGUUAACUUAAUUUCCAAAUUUAUUUGUGGGCGUUUGUGUGCUGUUUAGUUUCUGUUUAUAAGCCUGUAUGGGAUGGGCAAGGAAGGAGAGGUGCUGGAGUGGGUCCAGAGAAGCUUCUGAAAGGUCCAGAGAAAAAGUCUCAUGGGGAGUGGCUGAGGGAAUGGGGGUGAUUUAGCCUUGAGAAAAGGAGGCUUGGGGGAGCCCUAUCACUCUCUACAACUAUCUUAAAGGAGGAUGGAGCAAGAAGGUUGCAGAUGAAGAAGAAUCCUCACUUCAGUUGAACCCUGUAGUUGAGAGAACAGUCAGUAACAGAGGCUUUGGAAACCAGGAAUUGUUGAUUCCUCCCUCGGAGGGCAUUUUGCCAGAGAAUUCUGCUUGAGACGCGUGGAAAUUCUUGAACUAAAUAUAUGUGUGCAUGGGACUGGAAAAAUAUAUACGAAGCAUGUGUUUCUAUAGGAAUCCUAUUCAGCUAAAGCAUAACAAGAUUUGAAAACACUUUUUCUUGGUAACUCAGAUUGGAAAUGACCAUAAGCGUGAUGGUCUAUCAGGUUGCACAUUUUUACCAGGUUUUUAGCAAUCGAUAUUUGCUAAUCGAUAUUUGGCAGAGAAAGGAAAGAGACCAUGAAGAGGAAAGACACAUUCUUAAGUGCUUAAGUAAGAGUGUGCUUGUGUUUUUCCACUUGAACUUCAAGCGUGAUCUUUCUGACGGCAUACUGUACGUCUGAAGUAGAAAAUGAAAAAGUGCACCUGAUAAAAUAAGGAACGGGCAUUAAAAAAAGUGUGAAGUUUCACAUUCAAGUUUCCUUAUUUUAGAGCAAAUGAUUUCGGUAUCGAUUCUCCAGUCUCACAGAGUUGUCCCCUAAUAAAAUCUGUCAGAACAGCUGCAGACAGUGUGAGCUUUUAACAAUGAAUAAAUAGCACUUAUUCCAGA